AGAUCUUAGGGUCUUAUCAAUUGGUAUCAAAGCUCUUUCUUCUUUUACGAUAAGACCUUAGGGUCUUAUCAUUUGAUAUCAGAGCAUUUUAUGAUAAGACUUUAGGGUCUUAAUAUUUGGUAUUAGAGCUCUUCCUUCUUUUACGAUAAAACCUUAGGGUCUUAUCAUUUGGUAUCAGAGCAUUUUACGAUAAGACUUUAGGGUCUUAACAUUUGGUAUAAGAGCAGUGAACCUUGGUGUUCUUGGUGUAGUUCGUCAUCUCAAAAAAAAAAAAAGAGAGAGAAGCUAUCGUCAUCAAAAAAAAAAAAGUAAAAGAGAGAAAUAAGAAGAGAGAAGGCCGGUAGACCGCAUCCCCUGCUUCAGGCCAGCCCACCCG
This 376-nucleotide long non-coding RNA is filed under the name Musa acuminata (dwarf banana). RNAcentral's name for it is "long non-coding RNA (MACU_LNC007324)". Lineage: Eukaryota; Viridiplantae; Streptophyta; Magnoliopsida; Zingiberales; Musaceae. The record is from RNAcentral.